Molecule: small nuclear RNA, 23 nt
Filed under: Arabidopsis thaliana (thale cress)
Lineage: Eukaryota; Viridiplantae; Streptophyta; Magnoliopsida; Brassicales; Brassicaceae
Description: snRNA_18675
Source: RNAcentral
UAUUAAAUCUUGUUUAGAUAGAU